UUUCCGUAGGUGAACCUGCGGAAGGAUCAUUAAAAAAUGGUACUCUACUUGUGAGUGCAUUAAUAAUCCAUCCUACCUUUGUGAAUUUGUUGUAUGAAAUAAUUUUUUUUAAAAAAAAUUACUGAAUGUCUUUCCUGUUGAAAAGUUUGGUCGUAAGACUUGAUUUUUCACAGGGAUAGUCAAUAAUUUUUUUAAAAAGACCUUUUUUUAAAUAAAACUUUUUGUAUUCAUUUGUCUAAAAUAUUUUUAUAAUAUAAAAACAACUUUUGACAAUGGAUCUCUUGGUUCUCGCAACGAUGAAGAACGCAGCAAAAUGCGAUAAGUAGUGUGAAUUGCAGAAUACGUGAAUCAUCGAAUCUUCGAACGCAUAUUGCACUUUUUUAGUUUACUAAAAAAGUAUGUCUGUUUGAGUAUCAGUAAAAUAUUCUCAUAAAAACUUUUCUGUUUUUAUGGUUAUGAGUGUUUUACAACGAUACAAGUUGUUUCACUUUAAAUUUUUUUUAAAAUUUGAAUUUUUCUAAUUUUAAAUUAAAUUGGAUAAAAUUUCCUGUAAAAAGGAAUAAUUAAACAAUUUUAGAUUGAAUUUAGAAAUCCAAAUAAAAGGAAAUUUAUUACAAAUAACUUGAUCUCAAAUCAGAUAAGAGUACCCGCUGAACUUAAGCAUAUCAAUAAGCGGAGGAAAAGAAACUAACAAGGAUUCCUUAGUAACGGCGAGUGAAGCGGGAAGAGCUCAAAUUUGAAAUCUUCAAGGUUUUACCUUGACGAAUUGUAGUUUAAAGAAGUGUUUUCUGUUGAAGUUUCGGUAAAAGUUCUUUGGAAUAGGACAUCAUAGAGGUGAGAAUCCCGUAUUUGUCCGUUAUUUUCAGCUGUGUGAUACUCUUUCAAAGAGUCGGAUUGUUUGGGAAUGCAGUCCAAAUGGUGGUAAAUUUCAUCUAAAGCUAAAUAUUGGCGAGAGACCGAUAGCGAACAAGUACUGUGAGGAAAGAUGAAAAGAACUUUGAAAAGAGAGUUAAACAGUACGUGAAAUUGUCAAAAGGGAAGCGUUUGACACCAGUGUUGUUUCUCGAAAAUCAAUUAAAAAUGGCUUGAUUUUGUGUUGUAUUGACUUAAAAGCUUUCUUCACUUUUUCAUGUCUUUUUUAAUGCACUUUUCGUUUAACAAGUCAACAUCAGUUUCUUUUGUUGUAAAAGGUCAUUGGAAGGUGCUUUCUUUCGGAGAAAGUGUUUAUAGCCUUUGACUCCUGCAAUCGGAGAGACUGAGGUCUGCAGCGUAGAUCUUUUGGAUUAGAUUCAUUUGUGCUAAGUUAUAGCUUUUAUAGACAACUUGUUGACUAUAUUUAGUCUUGUAGCUUACUCGCUUAUGUAAUUUUACCUACGCUUAGGAUGUUG
Molecule: unclassified non-coding RNA, 1388 nt
Filed under: uncultured Neocallimastigales
Lineage: Eukaryota; Fungi; Neocallimastigomycota; Neocallimastigomycetes; Neocallimastigales
Description: partial contains small subunit ribosomal RNA, internal transcribed spacer 1, 5.8S ribosomal RNA, internal transcribed spacer 2, and large subunit ribosomal RNA
Rfam family: Eukaryotic large subunit ribosomal RNA (bases 624-1388)
Source: RNAcentral